RNAcentral lists this transfer RNA (73 nucleotides) under Schistocephalus solidus. It matches the Rfam family "tRNA". Rfam says of the family: Transfer RNA (tRNA) molecules are approximately 80 nucleotides in length. The record is from Rfam by way of RNAcentral. Lineage: Eukaryota; Metazoa; Platyhelminthes; Cestoda; Diphyllobothriidea; Diphyllobothriidae.
GAGCCAUGGGCUCAAUAGUUAGAGCUUUUCACUUCCGAUUAACAGGUCGCGAGUUCAAGCCUCGCGUAGUGCA